CGCACAUUGCGCCCUUUGGUAUUCCGAAGGGCAUGCCUGUUCGAGCGUCAUUAUCCACCCUCAAGCCUGGCUUGUUAUUGGAUCUUGAUCGGUAAAACGAUCGAUCUCAAAGAUAAUGGCGGCGUCAUGAUCGACCCCAGGUGCAGCGAGCUUUUAAAGCAUACACUUGAAGUGGUUCAUCAUGUCCCGGCCUGAAUUGUUUCUUGAAACAUUUAUUCAAAGGUUGACCUCGGAUCAGGUAGGAAUACCCGCUGAACUUAA
RNAcentral lists this unclassified non-coding RNA (261 nucleotides) under Phaeomoniellales sp. RNAcentral's name for it is "partial contains 5.8S ribosomal RNA, internal transcribed spacer 2, and large subunit ribosomal RNA". The record is from RNAcentral. Lineage: Eukaryota; Fungi; Ascomycota; Eurotiomycetes; Phaeomoniellales.